RNAcentral lists this long non-coding RNA (382 nucleotides) under Setaria viridis. RNAcentral describes it as "long non-coding RNA (SVIR_LNC002066)". Lineage: Eukaryota; Viridiplantae; Streptophyta; Magnoliopsida; Poales; Poaceae. The record is from RNAcentral.
AGUCACCUAUUUGCACCAGCAAGAAAUUACCAUCAAUAGGAUUAUUAUGAUCAUAAUUACAAUCAACAGCAGCAAGUACUUCAACAAGAAAUAAAAUUACAUAUUCAAAGGUUCAUCACACAAUAAAAAGUUUAACAAACAUUCAGAGGUUCAACACACAAAAAAGAGUGUAACAAACAUUCAGAGGUUCCACAUAGAUUAAGCUACUACAUCAAAUCACUUAAAAUCAUCACUCAUUCCUGUCGUUGCACCAUCUCUUCAACCACAUGAACCUUUCUUCAUUUAAAUCAAACUGGCAAAAGAUAUCCUAGUUGUAUUCAUCUCGAAACAACUUAGUAGCCAUGAAGUAUUCCUCUGUAUCUUUAGUUGCCCCACACUCCAC